GCCGAAAUAGCUCAGUUGGGAGAAUGUUAGACUGAAGGUGUAAAGGUCCCUGGUUCAAUUCUGGGUUUCAGCA
Camelus ferus (Wild Bactrian camel) is the source of this 73-nucleotide transfer RNA. It matches the Rfam family "tRNA". From Rfam's summary of the family: Transfer RNA (tRNA) molecules are approximately 80 nucleotides in length. Their secondary structure includes four short double-helical elements and three loops (D, anti-codon, and T loops). Further hydrogen bonds mediate the characteristic L-shaped molecular structure. tRNAs have two regions of fundamental functional importance: the anti-codon, which is responsible for specific mRNA codon recognition, and the 3' end, to which the tRNAs corresponding amino acid is attached (by aminoacyl-tRNA synthetases). tRNAs cope with the degeneracy of the genetic code in two manners: having more than one tRNA (with a specific anti-codon) for a particular amino acid; and 'wobble' base-pairing, i.e. permitting non-standard base-pairing at the 3rd anti-codon position. Lineage: Eukaryota; Metazoa; Chordata; Mammalia; Artiodactyla; Camelidae. The record is from Rfam.